Molecule: non-coding RNA, 128 nt
Organism: Ascodesmis nigricans
Lineage: Eukaryota; Fungi; Ascomycota; Pezizomycetes; Pezizales; Ascodesmidaceae
Source: the annotation of a GenBank genome assembly
GUCAAGAUGGCCGAGUGGUUAAGGCGUUCGCCUCGAAUCCCCCUCAGUUCGUCCCGCAACGGGCCAACUUUCGGUGCUACGAUUAGCGAAUGGGUUCGCCCGCGCAGGUUCGAAUCCUGUUCUUGACG